RNAcentral lists this ribosomal RNA (1137 nucleotides) under Salmonella enterica subsp. enterica. Its description in RNAcentral is "partial 23S ribosomal RNA". It matches the Rfam family "Bacterial large subunit ribosomal RNA", at positions 514 to 1566 of the family's 2925-position model. The record is from RNAcentral. Lineage: Bacteria; Pseudomonadati; Pseudomonadota; Gammaproteobacteria; Enterobacterales; Enterobacteriaceae.
GCGAAAAGAACCCCGGCGAGGGGAGUGAAAAAGAACCUGAAACCGUGUACGUACAAGCAGUGGGAGCACAGGUUUACCUGUGUGACUGCGUACCUUUUGUAUAAUGGGUCAGCGACUUAUAUUCUGUAGCAAGGUUAACCGAAUAGGGGAGCCGGAGGGAAACCGAGUCUUAAUUGGGCGUUAAGUUGCAGGGUAUAGACCCGAAACCCGGUGAUCUAGCCAUGGGCAGGUUGAAGGUUGGGUAACACUAACUGGAGGACCGAACCGACUAAUGUUGAAAAAUUAGCGGAUGACCUGUGGCUGGGGGUGAAAGGCCAAUCAAACCGGGAGAUAGCUGGUUCUCCCCGAAAGCUAUUUAGGUAGCGCCUCGUGAAUUCAUCUCCGGGGGUAGAGCACUGUUUCGGCUAGGGGGCCAUCCCGGCUUACCAACCCGAUGCAAACUGCGAAUACCGGAGAAUGUUAUCACGGGAGACACACGGCGGGUGCUAACGUCCGUCGUGAAGAGGGAAACAACCCAGACCGCCAGCUAAGGUCCCAAAGUCAUGGUUAAGUGGGAAACGAUGUGGGAAGGCCCAGACAGCCAGGAUGUUGGCUUAGAAGCAGCCAUCAUUUAAAGAAAGCGUAAUAGCUCACUGGUCGAGUCGGCCUGCGCGGAAGAUGUAACGGGGCUAAACCAUGCACCGAAGCUGCGGCAGCGAACGUAUCACCCAAGACAACUUUACGGAGUUGACGAUUGACGGAGCGAAGCGACGUCAAAGCGUUCAUUAAAGUCGAGUUGGCUUAGGGAUACGUUCGUUGGGUAGGGGAGCGUUCUGUAAGCCUGUGAAGGUGUGUCGUGAGGCAUGCUGGAGGUAUCAGAAGUGCGAAUGCUGACAUAAGUAACGAUAAAGCGGGUGAAAAGCCCGCUCGCCGGAAGACCAAGGGUUCCUGUCCAACGUUAAUCGGGGCAGGGUGAGUCGACCCCUAAGGCGAGGCCGAAAGGCGUAGUCGAUGGGAAACGGGUUAAUAUUCCCGUACUUGGUGUUACUGCGAAGGGGGGACGGAGAAGGCUAUGUUGGCCGGGCGACGGUUGUCCCGGUUUAAGCGUGUAGGUGUGUGUUCCAGGUAAAUCCGGUUCACUUUAACACUGAGGCGUGA